Molecule: non-coding RNA, 52 nt
Filed under: Oceanibacterium hippocampi
Lineage: Bacteria; Pseudomonadati; Pseudomonadota; Alphaproteobacteria; Sneathiellales; Sneathiellaceae
Description: Guanidine-II sequence
Rfam family: Guanidine-II riboswitch aptamer (mini-ykkC)
About the family: Simpler in structure and has fewer highly conserved nucleotide positions than the ykkC-yxkD leader. Despite this each of its two stem-loop structures directly bind free guanidine.
Source: Rfam by way of RNAcentral
AAGCGAGGACGACCUCCCCCGUUACGGGUCUGAUUCUGUCGGGACGACCCGA